CCUACGGGUGGCAGCAGUGGGGAAUAUUGGACAAUGGGCGAAAGCCUGAUCCAGCCAUGCCGCGUGUGUGAAGAAGGUCUUCGGGUUGUAAAGCACUUUCAGUGGGGAAGAAAGGCUUUGGGUUAAUACCUUCCAGGAAGGACAUCACCCACAGAAGAAGCACCGGCUAACUCCGUGCCAGCAGCCGCGGUAAUACGGAGGGUGCGAGCGUUAAUCGGAAUUACUGGGCGUAAAGCGCGCGUAGGCGGUCCGAUAAGCUGGUUGUGAAAGCCCCGGGCUCAACCUGGGAACGGCAUCCGGAACUGUCAGGCUAGAGUGCAGGAGAGGAAGGUAGAAUUCCCGGUGUAGCGGUGAAAUGCGUAGAGAUCGGGAGGAACACCAGUGGCGAAGGCGGCCUUCUGGACUGACACUGACGCUGAGGUGCGAAAGCGUGGGGAGCAAACAGGAUUAGAUACCCGUGUAGUC
Molecule: ribosomal RNA, 465 nt
Filed under: Vreelandella stevensii
Lineage: Bacteria; Pseudomonadati; Pseudomonadota; Gammaproteobacteria; Oceanospirillales; Halomonadaceae
Description: partial 16S ribosomal RNA
Rfam family: Bacterial small subunit ribosomal RNA
Source: RNAcentral